Molecule: long non-coding RNA, 1687 nt
Organism: Prinia subflava (tawny-flanked prinia)
Lineage: Eukaryota; Metazoa; Chordata; Aves; Passeriformes; Cisticolidae
Exons: 5
Source: RefSeq, a predicted model, not a curated record
GAAAUACCUCACUGUGUUUGGGGGGCUGGGGCACAAUGAUAUAAACAGCAUAGGAACCAAUAUAAAAACCCAAAGAAGGAAAAAAGGUUUACAAAGUAAAUGUACCUCUGGAAUUUGUCAUGGACUUGCACUUAUGGAUAUUUAGGCCAACUACCUAGCUUUCCAUGUCUUGAUUUACAACACUUUUGAACACCAUGAGGAAAGAGUGAGUUUUUGGAAUAAGUCUUUGCAGUGUGGAGAGAAACCGUGGUUGGAUCGGGGACGAAUCUCACAGUUCUACCAAAGGUCAUUGUGGAGAAAACAACUAAAUCAGAUGUUGCUACCACUGGGACAACAACAACCUUGCCAACAAUUUCCCCUACAAAGAACAUCAGCUUGGAGAUGCCCUCUAAGGAACCAACAACAGCGGUGAUCUGCACGGACAGGUUCGACAGCAGCAUGACAACAAUACUGCCAGAUCCUGAAGGGCACAGAGUGAACAUGCUGUCCAUGGCUGUGUUGGGUUUGCGAGUCCUGCUGGCAAAGACCAUUGCCUUCAACACCCUCAUGAGUAUCAAGUUGUUUCUUUCCUGAGCUCUUGCAGGUUUCUGGGGGAAAAGACAACAACAAUGGCCAAACCACACACAAGAAAAUCAAUUCUGUCCCAAAAAAGCAAUUAAGACAAGACCUCCCUGUCUCCCAAAGGACGAAGGAAACAGUGUUUUUCUGAAUUCAAAGCUCAGUUCCUGGAAGCUGGUUCCCAAAUUUUGGUUGCCAGAUAAACACAGGUAUUACCUGAUUAGCCUAAGAAAAAUCUCAUUGACUAUUUCAAGUAGUAGAGUACAAAGCCUGGAGAAAAAUCCAGACAAAUAAGGAUUCAAAGGCAAGGAUCCCAAAAUACAGAAGUGGGAGUAAAGACAGGCAGGGUAAGGAUUUUUAAACUAAAGUAUCUAAAGACGCACAAAAGAUAGCCCAGCCUAACUUUUGUGAGUGUAUCUCUCCUGAUCUGAGAGUUAUCAAGCAGCGGAUCUUAGGCCCAAUUUCAUUUAAUGUAGUUUAAACCUCCCCUUGCUCUUCCACACACGGAGAAUGAAAGCAAGAGGAACCUGAAGAAGAGCAGCAAAGAACGUGAACCUGCAGCACAAGGGGCUUGAACAAGCAGGGGCAGAGCUGCUGACAGAAACCAGCCAGGACACAAGGCAGCACCUUCCCCUGAAGACAUUGAUCACUCAUCACUCCUGCCAGGCCAGCUGAUUGACACUGGAGAGUUUUAAAUGCUUUUGCUGUUUCCUCUCCUCUGAGAACUGAGGAGAGUGCAUUUAUCCUCAUGCUCCUGCUAAGCAGAUCUCCUCACUCUUCUGGCAUUUGCACACAAGUGUCCAAUCUGCUUCAACAGCUUUGAAAAUUCCAAUGCUCACUCUACAUACUUGGCCUUUUAAAAGCACCUUUCCCUGGCAUGUUGUGUUCCUGCCUGUGCAACUGGAGCAUUACUGCAGAGGGAAUUCAAGGCCAGUAGUGGCCAUUUGUAGCUUUGGGUUAGAUUUAAUAACAAAAAGUGUGUAUUGCAGAUGAGAAGAGCUGUGUAGGAUCUGAAGUGAUUCAAUUCAUCCAGAUAAUGUUCAUUUCUUUAUUAAGCCUGUAUUUCUUCUGCCAAAUGUAUUACACAUGCACUUUAGGUUCCUGCAGUAGUGACAAAAAUAAAGUUGUA